Molecule: microRNA precursor, 63 nt
Filed under: Scyliorhinus torazame (cloudy catshark)
Lineage: Eukaryota; Metazoa; Chordata; Chondrichthyes; Carcharhiniformes; Scyliorhinidae
Description: Sto-Mir-181-P1b_pre stem-loop
Rfam family: mir-181 microRNA precursor family
About the family: In this case the mature sequence comes from the 5' arm of the precursor.
Source: RNAcentral
AACAUUCAACGCUGUCGGUGAGUUUUGACUUUUCAAAUUAAACCAUCGACCGUUGGUUGUACC